AGUGAACGCUGGCGGCGUGCUUAACACAUGCAAGUCGAACGGAUGAAAUUAAGCUUGCUUAUUUCGUUAGUGGCGCACGGGUGAGUAAUGUAUAGCUAACCUGCCCUUUAGUGGGGGACAACAGUUGGAAACGACUGCUAAUACCCCAUAUUCCUUCUUAUCAUAAGGUAAGUUGGGAAAGAUUUAUUGCUAAAGGAUGGGGCUUUAUGGUAUCAGCUAGUUGGUGGGGUAACGGCCUACCAAGGCUAUGACGCCUACCUGGUCUGAGAGGAUGAUCAGGCACACUGGAACUGAGACACGGUCCAGACUCCUACGGGAGGCAGCAGUGGGGAAUAUUGCACAAUGGAGGAAACUCUGAUGCAGCAACGCCGCGUGGAGGAUGACGCAUUUCGGUGUGUAAACUCCUUUUAUAAGGGAAGAUAAUGACGGUACCUUAUGAAUAAGCACCGGCUAACUCCGUG
Molecule: ribosomal RNA, 461 nt
Filed under: uncultured bacterium
Lineage: Bacteria
Description: bacterial SSU rRNA
Rfam family: Bacterial small subunit ribosomal RNA
Source: RNAcentral